GUACAUCGUUGGAGAUCUCAUGUACA
RNAcentral lists this small nuclear RNA (26 nucleotides) under Arabidopsis thaliana (thale cress). RNAcentral's name for it is "snRNA_10625". The record is from RNAcentral. Lineage: Eukaryota; Viridiplantae; Streptophyta; Magnoliopsida; Brassicales; Brassicaceae.